UGAUCUAGACUUCUCUGUGUCUGCGGUAGC
Molecule: non-coding RNA, 30 nt
Filed under: Mus musculus (house mouse)
Lineage: Eukaryota; Metazoa; Chordata; Mammalia; Rodentia; Muridae
Source: RNAcentral